Non-coding RNA from Mollisiaceae sp. DMI_Dod_QoI, 72 nucleotides. Lineage: Eukaryota; Fungi; Ascomycota; Leotiomycetes; Helotiales; Mollisiaceae. The record is from the annotation of a GenBank genome assembly.
GCUCUUGGUUUAGUGGUAAAAUCAGCGCUUCCCAUGCGCUGGCCCCGAGUUCGAACCCGACUUCCCGGAGCA